GCGAUGUCGCAAGAUCGGGAACGGCUUACCCAGUCUUCCAAACUGGCUACGCGGGUUCGAUUCCCGUCAUCCGCUCCA
Molecule: transfer RNA, 78 nt
Filed under: Angustibacter sp. Root456
Lineage: Bacteria; Bacillati; Actinomycetota; Actinomycetes; Kineosporiales; Kineosporiaceae
Description: tRNA-Gly
Source: RNAcentral